GGAACUCGUCACAUCUCCUAGCUGCUAUCCUAAAAACGCAGCCAGAAAUCAUAAGCUGCAUGUCACCUCAGCCCAGAAAUUGUCACACCACUUUGUAUUUACUUUUUAAGAGAGGAACCUCAGGCAUCUCAGAUGUGGUACCCUCCAUACUGACAAUAAAUCAGUCAUUCUCUGUUAAAGGCACUGCUUUGUAUCAAAGAAAUUGCUAACAAUAUCAACUCCUUAGCUUUUAUUCCUUUGUUUUUCUCUCUUUUUUAGUUCUAAUCGCCAGUCUAAAGUCUCUGCCUGGAUUCCCUGCUCCAACCUGGCUGGAAAUUUCAGGUGCUGCUGAAACCACCCAGUUGUUUGUCCCAGUGAAUACAGGGCAUGUUCCUGGGACUACUGCAAAGAGCAAAACAGGGCAACGCUGUGGGCACACGGAGGAAGAAAAAUCCUGGAAAAAAUUAUGGCAACGAUCAAAUCCUCUGGUACUCAUUAAAAGGGCUGGAUCUCAUACAGUAUGGUCUGGGGGUUGCAGAGCUACACGGCAUUGUCCAUCACAGGAAUGGUCUCCUAACCAAUAGGUAAUGUAUCCAUGUGAAUUUCCAUAAGGAUGUAAAUCAUCAGGAUCAGAAAUUUUGAAGCAAAUAUCCCAAACAUUGCCACUUAUGGUAAAUCAGUGUGUGGAGUGGUGCCACAGCACAUGAGCUGGGGUGGCUUUUGGAGGACAUGUGACCAGAUGAUGUGCUCCAGCUCACCAAAAUGCAUGGGCCACUAAUGAGCACUCAGUAUCAGGACUAACUGCCCCUGAAAAUAUCCAGUAUAGACACCCGUUUCUCAGAUCUGCUCACUAGAGCUAAUGCAGAUGUAGCCACUAAAGCUUAUGCAGAUGUAGCCACUAACCAUGCUCUGCCCAUAAAUAUGCUCAGGCAGCAAUAACCAGCCCCCAGCUUGUGGUGAUGCAUUUCAUCUUUCUAAAGCAAGGUUAUUCCUGUCAAUAUCAAACCAGAAGAGACACUUAUCAUUUUAGGGACUUUCCACCAUUUAUCUUCCCAUCCUCCCCACAGGUGUACACUUGAUACAGUCACUUUUCUCCAGGGAAAGAACCCGAUUUCGUGGUGGACAGGAAUGCUGACCCACUUGCCUUCUGCUGCAAGCAUCCAUCAAACCCAGCCUCUGUGUCCCCUGGAGUCUUAAUUUUCCUCUUGACAGCAAAGAUAAAUGACUCCCCCAGGGCUAUUUGCUCAUGUCUACUGAAGGUUUACGUGAUGUUUCUUGAAGAUGACCUGUUUUUUAAACACAAUGAGUUUUCUUUCCACUACCACCUACCAGUGCGAAGGCAGAGAUAGAUUUGUUUUAAGAAAACCUUAUGGUGCCA
This 1357-nucleotide long non-coding RNA is filed under the name Calidris pygmaea (Spoon-billed sandpiper). Its description in RNAcentral is "lncRNA (ENSCPGG00000004139.1)". The record is from RNAcentral. Lineage: Eukaryota; Metazoa; Chordata; Aves; Charadriiformes; Scolopacidae.